ACCAGAUUGUUGAGGCUGCAUCACUUGGCAUUGCAACUAUGAAGUUGGAUGAUGAUUUUACAGUAACUGAAUAUAAACAUUUCAGAACAUGCUCAUUGCUGAACUGUUAUUUGUUACACGGUAGAAUACGUUAAACAACUGUACGUGGUUCAGGAGCCUUUUAAAAGAUAACGGCUCUGUGUUGUGACUGUUGUUUAAAAUAGCUUCAAAAACUCAUUAUCG
Non-coding RNA from Paramuricea clavata, 222 nucleotides. Lineage: Eukaryota; Metazoa; Cnidaria; Anthozoa; Malacalcyonacea; Plexauridae. The record is from the annotation of a GenBank genome assembly.